AACGCGAAGAACCUUACCAGGUCUUGACAUCUAGUGCAAUCUGUAGAGAUACGGAGUUCCCUUCGGGGACGCUAAGACAGGUGGUGCAUGGCUGUCGUCAGCUCGUGUCGUGAGAUGUUGGGUUAAGUCCCGCAACGAGCGCAACCCUUGUUAUUAGUUGCCAGCAUUAAGUUGGGCACUCUAAUGAGACUGCCGGUGACAAACCGGAGGAAGGUGGGGAUGACGUCAAGUCAUCAUGCCCCUUAUGACCUGGGCUACACACGUGCUACAAUGGGCAGUACAACGAGAAGCAAGCCUGCGAAGGCAAGCGAAUCUCUGAAAGCUGUUCUCAGUUCGGACUGCAGUCUGCAACUCGACUGCACGAAGCUGGAAUCGCUAGUAAUCGCGGAUCAGCACGCCGCGGUGAAUACGUUCCCGGGUCUUUACACACCG
RNAcentral lists this ribosomal RNA (432 nucleotides) under uncultured bacterium. RNAcentral describes it as "bacterial SSU rRNA". It matches the Rfam family "Bacterial small subunit ribosomal RNA", at positions 958 to 1392 of the family's 1533-position model. The record is from RNAcentral.